Molecule: ribosomal RNA, 504 nt
Filed under: uncultured fungus
Lineage: Eukaryota; Fungi
Description: SSU rRNA
Rfam family: Eukaryotic small subunit ribosomal RNA
Source: RNAcentral
GAUUCAUGAUAACUUCGCGAAUCGCACAGCCUUGCGCUGGCGAUGGUUCAAUCAAGUUUCUUCCCUAUCAACUUUCGAUGUUUGGGUAUUGGCCAAACAUGGUUGCAACGGGUAACGGAGGGUUAGGGCUCGACCCCGGAGAAGGAGCCUGAGAAACGGCUACUACAUCCAAGGAAGGCAGCAGGCGCGCAAAUUACCCAAUCCCGACACGGGGAGGUAGUGACAAUAAAUACUGAUACAGGGCUCUAUUGGGUCUUGUAAUUGGAAUGAGUACAAUCUAAAUCUCUUAACGAGGAACAAUUGGAGGGCAAGUCUGGUGCCAGCAGCCGCGGUAAUUCCAGCUCCAAUAGCGUAUAUUAAAGUUGUUGUGGUUAAAAAGCUCGUAGUUGAACCUUGGGCCUGGCUGGCCGGUCUGCCUCACCGCACGCACUGGACCGGCCGGGCCUUUCCCUCUGUGGAACCUCAUGCUCUUCACUGGGCGUGACGGGGAACCAGGACUUUUAC